UACGGAGGGUGCAAGCGUUAAUCGGAAUUACUGGGCGUAAAGCGCGCGUAGGCGGUUUGAUAAGUCGAUUGUGAAAUCCCCGGGCUUAACCUGGGAAUGGCGUCUGAAACUACGGAGCUGGAGUGUGGCAGAGGGAGGUAGAAUUCCACGUGUAGCGGUGAAAUGCGUAGAUAUGUGGAGGAAUACCGAUGGCGAAGGCAGCCUCCUGGGCCACUACUGACGCUGAGAAGCGAAAGCAUGGGGAGCGAACAGG
RNAcentral lists this ribosomal RNA (253 nucleotides) under uncultured bacterium. RNAcentral describes it as "partial 16S ribosomal RNA". It matches the Rfam family "Bacterial small subunit ribosomal RNA", at positions 524 to 776 of the family's 1533-position model. The record is from RNAcentral.